ACACUGGAUUUUUUAAAAUCCAUCGUCAGUUGACACCAAUUGCAAG
This is a non-coding RNA of Zea mays, 46 nucleotides long. Lineage: Eukaryota; Viridiplantae; Streptophyta; Magnoliopsida; Poales; Poaceae. The record is from Rfam.